UACGGGGGGGGUAAGCGUUGUUCGGAAUUACUGGGCGUAAAGGGCUCGUAGGCGGCCAACUAAGUCGGACGUGAAAUCCCUCAGCUUAACUGGGGAACUGCGUCCGAUACUGGAUGGCUUGGAUUUGGGAGAGGGAUGCGGAAUUCCAGGUGUAGCGGUGAAAUGCGUAGAUAUGCGGAGGAACACCGAUGGCGAAGGCAAUCCCCUGGGCCUGCACUGACGCUCAUGCACGAAAGCGUGGGGAGCAAACAGG
Molecule: ribosomal RNA, 253 nt
Filed under: uncultured bacterium
Lineage: Bacteria
Description: partial 16S ribosomal RNA
Rfam family: Bacterial small subunit ribosomal RNA
Source: RNAcentral